UUCUUUCGGCUGAAUACCCGAAACUGGAGACUUUGACUGGUGGAUGGCUAAUUUAUAAAGCAUCGGGAGGAAGUGGCCAGAGAAAACUUUCUGUGAUCCCACCCGAGUCCGAAGGCUACACAGCAAAAAUGCUAAAGGGCAUUUCAAAUAAUGGAAAACACACGCUUUUCGUUAUUCCACUUCAAGAGGAACUAGACACCACGCCUCUUCCCGCUGAUGCCCCUGAGUUCUGCAAAAUGCCUACAUCUCAAUGCAGGACCUGUGGAGAAACGUUACCCCUACAGUUUCUUGCUCUACAUGUUGAGUCUUGUAGCAAGUCUGCAGAAGAUACUGAACAAGAAAUUGAUGAAGAUUCAGAUGAAAAGCAAGACCAUGAUGAUCAAGACAAUACUUCCCCAGUCGCGAGUGAGAAAGAGUGUCCCAUAUGCCAAGUAGUGUACCCUGCUGACAUCAUCGAGAUGCAUGCCAGUGCCUGCGUUGAGAGGACAUCAACUCUGGAAGGGCUUUCGUAUGGUGGCGCCGGAGUGGAUGUAGAGGCAUUGGAAGAACCAUCUGCCACAUCUUCACAGAUGACACCAUGGCAAAAUCAGCCAACAAGUUCUGCCGGACCCUC
Molecule: long non-coding RNA, 613 nt
Organism: Trematomus bernacchii (emerald rockcod)
Lineage: Eukaryota; Metazoa; Chordata; Actinopteri; Perciformes; Nototheniidae
Exons: 5
Source: RefSeq, a predicted model, not a curated record